UACGUAGGGGGCAAGCGUUAUCCGGAUUUACUGGGCGUAAAGGGAGCGUAGACGGCAGUGCAAGUCUGAAGUGAAAGGCAAGGGCUCAACCCUUGGACUGCUUUGGAAACUGUGCUGCUGGAGUGUCGGAGAGGCAAGUGGAAUUCCUAGUGUAGCGGUGAAAUGCGUAGAUAUUAGGAGGAACACCAGUGGCGAAGGCGGCUUGCUGGACGAUGACUGACGUUGAGGCUCGAAAGCGUGGGGAGCAAACAGG
Molecule: ribosomal RNA, 253 nt
Filed under: uncultured bacterium
Lineage: Bacteria
Description: partial 16S ribosomal RNA
Rfam family: Bacterial small subunit ribosomal RNA
Source: RNAcentral